RNAcentral lists this non-coding RNA (38 nucleotides) under Prorocentrum micans. The record is from RNAcentral. RNAcentral also lists the same sequence under 2 other names. Lineage: Eukaryota; Dinophyceae; Prorocentrales; Prorocentraceae.
UUUUUUUUUUUUUUUUUUUUUUUUUUUUUUUUUUUUUU